CCUACGGGGGGCUGCAGUGGGGAAUAUUGGACAAUGGGGGCAACCCUGAUCCAGCAAUGCCGCGUGUGUGAAGAAGGCCUGCGGGUUGUAAAGCACUUUCAGUAGGGAAGAAAAGCUCGGAGUUAAUACCUCCGGGUCUUGACGUUACCUAAAGAAGAAGCACCGGCUAACUCCGUGCCAGCAGCCGCGGUAAUACGGAGGGUGCAAGCGUGCGUCGGAAUUACGGAGCGUAAAGCGCGAGUAGGCGGUGAAAGCCCUGGGCUUAACCUGGGAACUGCAUUCGAUACUGUCUGGCUAGAGUAUGGGAGAGGGAAGCGGAAUUUCCGGUGUAGCGGUGAAAUGCGUAGAUAUCGGAAGGAACAUCAAUGGCGAAGGCAGCUUCCUGGCCCAAUACUGACGCUCAGGUGCGAAAGCGUGGGGAUCAAACAGGAUUAGAUACCCCAGUAGUC
RNAcentral lists this ribosomal RNA (449 nucleotides) under uncultured bacterium. RNAcentral describes it as "partial 16S ribosomal RNA". It matches the Rfam family "Bacterial small subunit ribosomal RNA", at positions 338 to 795 of the family's 1533-position model. The record is from RNAcentral.